Molecule: unclassified non-coding RNA, 1983 nt
Filed under: Venturia canescens
Lineage: Eukaryota; Metazoa; Arthropoda; Insecta; Hymenoptera; Ichneumonidae
Description: serine/arginine-rich splicing factor 7-like, transcript variant X1
Source: RNAcentral
CUCGCGUCCUGCCUACUCGUUUUUUUCUCUCGAUCGGCGUUUCAACGAGAUUCGGCGGCGUCGUCAACCAACGAGCCCCAAGCAAGGCAUUAUACGUGUGCUCUCUUUUCUCUCCGCGCGCGAUCUCAUAUCGCGCUAUCCCGCCCGUCGGCCUUUCGGCCCGACUGCAUUUAUACUUCGUACCACUAUUCCGAGUGCUGAAUUAUCUGGCAUCCGGACGUCGACCAUUUAUUUUCCGCUCGACAAAUCGACACAACAGACACGACGACGACGAUUUUAAUUCGAAGAAAAUCGAUAAACGACGAAAUAUUGCCGCAACUCCUAUGCGCGUUGCCGUCAUAUUAGAAUACCUCUGGACGCUACCCAUUAUUACAAGCGAUCAAUUCAGUAGUUUCAAAAAGCCAACGAAUUUAUUCUACGUAACCGGUCAAGCGAUUUAUCAUUUUUCAUGCUGAAUAAGUGUCAUAUCACCGGAAAAACGCCGCACUCAUAUAACUCGUAUGCCUAUAUGAAGGUGAUCGGAUAAAUUUUUAUAUUAUUCGUUUCGCACAUCUUAGUUUGUUCGAGGACUCGUAAGGCUGAAAGGCCGAAUAUUGAAAGUGACCGAAAAUGAAUAAGAUGUCUCGUUACCCCUCGGACUGCAAAGUCUACGUGGGUGAUUUGGGAAGUAAUGCAACAAAACAGGAACUCGAAGAUGCUUUUUCGUACUACGGCUCUCUGAGAAACGUCUGGGUGGCUAGAAAUCCACCUGGUUUUGCUUUCGUUGAAUUUGAGGAUGCCAGGGAUGCGGAAGACGCUAUCAGAGGUCUCGAUGGUCGUACCAUAUGUGGCCGACAAGCACGCGUCGAAUUGUCAAAUGGAAAGCGCCUCAGAGACAGAGGAUCGUCUCGACGCGCAGCCGGACGUCCUUUCCAUCCGGAGGAUCGUUGCUAUGAGUGUGGCGAGCGUGGACACUAUGCCAGAGAUUGUCCAAGGCACAGAAGUGGUCGCAAGCGCAGGAGAUGGGGCUGAACAGACAUAGACACACGUGAAAUGUGUGUUUCUACCAGUCGCUACUGAGAUACUCGCGAGAUUCGUCCUGGGUUCACUUCGCGACACACAGACAUUGCAUAGUUACAGCGUAGAGCACCCACCUACUUCGGGUUUCCCACUGCACUAUGCUGCGAAUGAACGAGAAAAGUGAGAGAGCGAGAAAAGCGAAACGGCACAUCGAAACUACACGCGUCUAGAGUCGUCGUCACUCAUCAACGCACUCGCUCCGAUCUUCUACCGACAGAUACAGUGCGUGUGUCUCCUGUCUCUCUCCCUCUCUUUCUCUCUUUCUCUCUCGUGCCCUCGACAAGUAUUUAAAAAAAAAAAUGAAAUCGACGCAAGUUGUUUCCGAUACGAAAAUUUGAUGAUUUAAAAAUCGGAAGUGACCAUACGACAGGGAGAAUGAGAGAGAAGGAGAGAAUUAGGAUGACACGAGGACGGAGCGACACCUCUCUCUCUCCGAGUCUCCUUCGUUCGGCUCACCUCCUUGGUCUCUCCUCCGUUGUCACAGUGAGAAAGUGAGAGAGCCUGCCAGAUACGGCGUGAAUAUGUGUCAUCUCUGUAGCGAAUCGUCGCACGUUCGAAACUUCGACCGUUCCACGCUCAUCCAAAUAUUGGCGCGCUAUUACAUCCAACUCGCGACGAGUGUGUUCGACCGCUCUCCCCAUUCUGGCAUAGCCAUCUCCUCGUGUACCUACUUGUGCUACAUGCGUGAGCUACGAUAUCCAACCGAUAACAACCAUGGUCCCGUACGAGGUCCAGGUCCCGUUCUCGCUCACGCUCCCGUAGCAAGCGUUCCCGCACUCGCUCUUCCUCACGCAGCCGAUCACGCAGCAGGAGUGGCCCCAACGUCAGAGACAAAUCUCGCAGCAGCAAGGGACGAUCCGACUCAAAGGACCGGAGUCCGCCACGUCGCUCCAAAUCUCGUUCCAUCUCGCGCACCCGUAGCAG